CCAGGGGCCGCGCGUGAAUUCGUACGAUCCCAAUCCAAUAAUCCAAUCCAAUCCGGAUAAAUUUUAAUCUUGGAUUAGAUCUACAGUCAAAACAGUAAUGUUUAAUAAUGAGAUAGAGAAACAGAUAUUACAAGCCUGAGUCGACACUCUAUAAACAUGGGGGCUGAGCAGAGCAACUCGAGUGCAGCUCCGUUGAAGUCACAAAGAGACGAAGACAUCCCAUACACUUCAUACUCUAUAAGUAAACCUAUUAACAAUGGAAAACAACAAAAAGCACAAGAUAGCCCAAAAGCGUCACCUAGACUAAAAGAUAAAGCUAAAUCUAGUCACCAUAGAGACAAGGAAACAAACAAAGAUUCUCAUUUGAAGAAUAACACACUUGUGGUUGUCGCUAAGGGCAACCAAGGGAACACACAAAUUGACCCGGAACUCUUAAAGCUUGAUGCUAUCCCUGUGUUUUUGCCUCUCAUGCGGGGGUCACUGAAUAUUCCAAAUAUGAGAGACCCUGAAGUGCUUGAUAAGCUUGAUUAUAGACAGGUGCUUGAAAUGUGUCUGAGGUAUCAGGAACACUUGCGUCAGAGCUCUGAGGCUGUUGCCUUUGAUCAGAAUGCCCUCUGUGUCCGAAUAAAAGAGAUAGACUACAUUACACACAGUUUAAUGACAUCCAUAGUUGAAAGACAGAAAAAGUUUGCUAAAUAUGCUGAACAAAUCCAGAAAAUUGGAGAAAUAAAUAUUGUACUUAACAAAGUCAAAAUGAACGUUGAACAGACAACUGCCCUAAUGGAGCGUUUGAACAAUGUUCUUCCACCUGAAGACAAACUUGAACCUUUCUCCAUGAAGCCUGCUUAAAAUAGGCCUUUCUUCACAAAGCCUGCUUAAAAUGGGCCUUUCUCCAGGAAUCCAUCUUAAAAUGGGCCUCGCUCCAUGAAGCUUGUUUAAAAUGGGCCUUUCUCCAUGAAGCCUGCUUAAAAUGGGC
RNAcentral lists this unclassified non-coding RNA (976 nucleotides) under Owenia fusiformis. RNAcentral describes it as "bLOC-1-related complex subunit 5". Lineage: Eukaryota; Metazoa; Annelida; Polychaeta; Sabellida; Oweniidae. The record is from RNAcentral.